UCAACGUUUUGCUUCUUAUAAGUUCCCAAUUUGACUUGUACAACUUUUGAAUGGAAACAAAAUAAUUUUGUAAAAUGUCUUUUUACCAAGGAAAGAAUAGGUUUUGUUAACUAACUCCAUAAAUGACUGCUAUUUUUAUACGACCGCAAAAAAAUUUUUGUGGUCGUAUAUUGGUAUGACGUUGGCGUCGUCGUCGUCGUCCGGCGUCGUCGUCCGAAGACGCAUUAGUUUUCGCACUCUAACUUUAGUUUAAGUGAAUGGAUCUCUAUGAAAUUUUACCAUAAGGUUCAAUACCACAAAAGGAAGGUGGGGAUUGAUUUUGGGGGUUAUGGUACCAACAGUUAAGGAAUUAGGGGCCAAAAAGGGGCUAAAAAUAAGCAUUUUCUAGUUUCCAGACAAUAACUGUGGAACGGUGUAUGGAUCUCUCUGAAAUUAUACUACAAGUUUCCAUACCACAAAGGGAUGGUUAGGAUUUGCUUUGGGGGGUUAUUGCUCAAACCGUUUAAGAAUUAGGGGCAAAAAAGGGGGAAAAACAAGGUUGUCCUCAUUAAUGGACAAAUACUUUAGUACAAAACAUAAUUUAAAGCAGUGUAAGGGAGAUAAAUCAAAGACAUCAUUGAAAUUAUCUCCCUUACACUGCUUUUAAAUUAUGUAUAAAGUAAUGGUUAAUGAACAAUUAAGAUAAUCUAAAACAGUGUAAGGGAGGUAAUCCAAAUACAACGUUUUGGUUACUUCCCUUACACUGCUUUUAAAUUAUGUUUAAAGAAAUGCAUAUUUAUAAAGGAAGACCAGUAUGGCGCAUUAGAUUUGUAAAAUCUGUGACCACAUUUAUUUAUUUGUUAUGCCAAAUCUAACCGUGUAUUUAGAUUUUUAAUUUUGGGUACAGUUUUCAAAUUGGUCUACAUUAAGGUCCAAAGGGUCCAAAAUUAAACUUUGUUUGAUUUUAACAAAAAUUGAAUUUAUGGGGUUCUUUGAUAUGCUGAAUCUAAACAUGUAUUUAGAUUUUUGAUUUUUGGCCCAGUUUUCAAGUUGGUCCAAAUUGGGGUCCAAAAUUAAACUUUGUUUGAUUUCAUCAAAAAUUGAAUUAUUGGGGUUCUUUGAUAUGCCAAAUCUAACCAUGUAUUUAGAUUUUUAAUUUUGGGUCCUGUUUUUUAAAUUGGUCUACAUUAAGGUCCAAAGGGUCCAAAAUUAAACUUAGUUUGAUUUUAACAAAAAUUGAAUUCUUGGGGUUCUUUGAUAUUUUGAAUCUAAACAUGUGUUUAGAUUUUUGAUUAUGGGCCCAGAUUUCAAGUUGGUCCAAGUUGGGGUCCAAAAUUAAACUUUGUUUGAUUUCAACAAAAAUUGAAUAUAUGGGGUUCUUUGAUAUGCUGAAUCUUACCAUGUAUUUAGAUUUUUUAUUUGUGGGCCCGCUAUCAAAUUGGUUCAUAUUGAGGUCAAAAGGGUCCAAAAUUAAACUUUGUUUGAUUUCAUCAAAAAUUGAAUUAUUGGGGUUCUUUGAUAUGCCAAAUCUAACCGUGUAUUUAGAUUUUUAAUUUUGGGUCCCGUUUUUUAAAUUGGUCUACAUUAAGGUCCAAAGGGUCCAAAAUUAAACUUAGUUUGAUUUUAACAAAAAUUGAAUUCUUGGGGUACUUUGAUAUGCUGAAUCUAAACAUGUGUUUAGAUUUUUGAUAAUGGGACCAGUUUUCAAGUUUGUCCAAGUUGGGGUCCAAAAUUAAACUUUGUUUGAUUUCAACAAAAAUUGAAUAUAUGGGGUUCUUUGAUAUGCUGAAUCUAACCAUGUAUUUUGAUUUUGGACAUUGGACCAUAAUAGGUAAAUUAAAAAAAUUGAAGUUCUUAGACCACAUUCUUUCUGUGUCAGAAACCUAUGCUGUGUCAAAUAUUUAAUCACAAUCCAAAUUCAGAGCUGUAUCAAGCUUGAAUGUUGUGUCCAUACUUGCCCCAACUGUUCAGGGUUCGACCUCUGCGGUCGUAUCAAGCUGCGCCCAGCGAAGCAUUUUAUUAUUUCCUG
Mytilus californianus (California mussel) is the source of this 2008-nucleotide long non-coding RNA. RefSeq lists it as uncharacterized. NCBI's taxonomy places the organism in Eukaryota, Metazoa, Mollusca, Bivalvia, Mytilida, Mytilidae. The record is from RefSeq and is a predicted model, not a curated record. The transcript has 2 exons.